Molecule: microRNA precursor, 77 nt
Filed under: Jaculus jaculus (lesser Egyptian jerboa)
Lineage: Eukaryota; Metazoa; Chordata; Mammalia; Rodentia; Dipodidae
Description: miRNA (ENSJJAG00000006512.1)
Source: RNAcentral
GCAAGAGAAAUUGGAGUUGAUGCAAGUGCCAACCAGCUUAAUCAGUGACUGGAUAAAUUGCAGUACUCCAACAUUCU